RNAcentral lists this long non-coding RNA (711 nucleotides) under Pogona vitticeps (central bearded dragon). Its description in RNAcentral is "lncRNA (ENSPVIG00000008031.1)". Lineage: Eukaryota; Metazoa; Chordata; Lepidosauria; Squamata; Agamidae. The record is from RNAcentral.
AUGACGGCGGUUCUUCUGCUAGUGAAUGGGGUUGGCCUUCUUAGCUUCUGGCUGUCUGUGGAAUUCUCAACACCCACUAUCCAGCUGGCUUCUGAGAUUCAGCAAGGCCAUUCAGAGAACAUUGUGUGCAAUAUUCCUCGCUUGAAGGUGAGAGACUCCACAUCACCUCAUAGGAACAUCUCCUUGAGCAGAGGCCCAGAUGUUCUCAGCAGCAACAAUAACAAAUCGUCUCUGGAGUACAGCUUUGUGGCCGACCUUCAGAAAGAUGACCGGACUGAGAUCAUUUGUGAAGCCUAUGUCCAGGUGGGCUCAGAAGUGCUGAGAAAACAGACGAGGAGAGUUUUGAAUGUUGUGGCCAGUCCUUUCAACGUCAGCGUCUCAGCAAAUCGUGAGAGGUACAAAACAAAUGAGAACAUUAAGGUGACAUGUAAUGCUACAGGCAAACCCUUUCCGGAGUUUUCGUGGCAUCUCCCUUCCACAGAGGGUGUGGAAUUCUCAGACAACAACCGGACCAUUGAGAUAUCUUCAGCUCAGAGUUCCCAUAAUGGGACAUACCUAUGUCUGGCCAAUAAUAUUUAUGGCAAGAAAUCGGCACGAGUGGACAUCGUCUUUGAAGAGUCGACUCGCAGCUGGAUCGCCGCAGUGGUGGUGGUGACGUUGCUGGCAGUCCUGAUCACGGCUGGAGUCGUCUUGUACCGCUGUCAGAAAUGA